RNAcentral lists this unclassified non-coding RNA (144 nucleotides) under Flavobacterium sinopsychrotolerans. Its description in RNAcentral is "Flavo-1 RNA". Lineage: Bacteria; Pseudomonadati; Bacteroidota; Flavobacteriia; Flavobacteriales; Flavobacteriaceae. The record is from RNAcentral.
GCCUAGCCCAGAUUAAAGUGGAAAUACGGCAGUAAAAAAUACUAUUGUUUUCUUGCCUGAAAGAGCGACCGCAGGAAGCUCCUUUUAGGCAAUUGAAAACAAAUUAUUUUUGCUGCAGGAUUAUAACGGAAAGCUGGAAAUAGC